ACAAUGCAACGUGAUAUCUACAACUCCCGUCAUAAUUGCAAUUUGUUAUUUCCAAAGCCUCUUUUCUAUUCCAACACAUAGUGCAGUGAACCUGCUAUUAGGGUUGUGUUUAUGUUUCCAAAAUCCUCCUUCUCACAUUUUCAACUUCUUAUGUUUCCAACACUGAACCCUACCCUUCCCUCCCCUCAGACAAAAGAAUCACGAACUCAUCCAUUUUCCUCCUCAUUUUUUGUUUUGCUUUCAGUUUCAUCCUUUCUUCAUAUUCGCCACAGAAUAACCAAAAACAAACAGUGUACGGUUAAAUUCAAACCAAAAUGUUAACCUUCAUCUUCUUCAUCCUUUCUCUUUUCAAUCGAUUCGAGUUUCCACAAUUAAUCAGAACGUUCCUUCAUAUCGAACGGUUUGAAUCGGCUGAGUCAAGCCUUGAGGCAACGAUCUUCGGUAACGAUCGUCAACCGUUGAGGUGACGCAACUAUGGUAUCAUUAUCAUUCACUAUGAAAUUUACAGCAACUGAACGAUUUGAUUUGCUAAAAAAUUGGUAUGGGUGAAAAAAGAGAUUUCUCCAAGUCUGUAAACGCUAUUUCAAACCUUUUCUCUUUGAUAAACUGUGAAACAAUGGAUUGCAAUAUUUUAUAUAUCCACGAAUGUGAAAGUUGCCCCCAGAGGAUUGUCACCUGUGAGUUCUGUGAGUUUCCAUUGCCUGCAAUUGAUCUGCCAGAGCAUCAGACGCAGUGAUCUUAAAAAACCUUUGAAUUCAAUUGCAACGGAAUACAAGACAUUGCUGCAGGCUCUUCAAGGCAGGAAAAUUUCAUCAUAUAAUUACAGUGCAAGUUUUAGUUUUAUUCAUAUUUUGGUCCAUUUUGUGGAAGUGUUACAUGCAUUAUUAUAAUUUCACUAAUUAUUAUAUUUACUUGCUUAUUUAUAUAUUUACAUGCAUUAUUCCUGUCAUUUGACCGCCAUUGCACCAGCUCUGUCUACGCCUCCGGUGAAGAAGGAGGUUUCCGAAGGUGGUAAAAUCACCGAUGAGUUUACAGGAAAGGGAGCGAUCAGUCAUGUUUGUCAAGUUAUUGGUGCCGUCGUUGACUGCUCUUAAAGUUCUAGAUUAUUCUUCGAGAUUGGUGUUGGAACUGACUCAGCAUUUGGGUGAAGGUGUUGUGAGAACCAUUGCUAUGGAUGCUACUGAAGUUGGAAACUGCAAUCUUUAUUGGAGGGGUGGAACUGUACCAAUACUGCUCACUUUGGAUGUGUUCGUUUUAUUCUGGUCUAGGCUCCUUCAAUUUGUGUUGGUUUUUCUGCUAUCAAUGUUUGUGGUUAUUUGCAAAGAGUAUCAUGCAAGUGGUUAGUUUUGAUAGUGGUGGCUGUAUGUAGAAUUUAGGUGUCUCAUAAUUUCUCAGUUUGGUAGAAGCUAAGAAAGAAGAAGACAUGAUGUUGGGAUUAAUUCAUGUUUCAAUACCAAGUAGAAGUUUGGCUCUUUUUUUUUCUACUGUGUGGCAGGCGUUUAUGUGUAUUGAAGGGCGUGGGAUUGUGUGUUUAAAUUAUCAUCAUCUUUGUACAAGCGCUGCAGACAUUUUACUCUUGGAUUUUUGUUGUUGUUAUUUCUGGCAUCAGUUUUAGCAUAUGGUGUGGGGAACUAUAGCUUUUGAAUUCAACUUACAACACUGGCAUGAGAGAUUGAGAAGAGAUAAAAUAGGGACCUUGAUUUUAUUUUCUUUAUCUAUGUAACAUUUUUUAGAUAUACGUUCUUAUGAAUUAUCUUUUGAAAUAAUAGGUUUGUAAGAUUGAUCCAGAUAACUGAUUGGAACUAUGAGUUUAUCAUCUAAGGUGUAAACUAUAAUCUGUUCACUUAUUUUAA
This is a long non-coding RNA of Medicago truncatula (barrel medic), 1853 nucleotides long. RefSeq lists it as uncharacterized. The record is from RefSeq and is a predicted model, not a curated record. Lineage: Eukaryota; Viridiplantae; Streptophyta; Magnoliopsida; Fabales; Fabaceae. The transcript has 3 exons.